Long non-coding RNA from Mus musculus (house mouse), 2830 nucleotides. RefSeq annotates it as predicted gene, 33235. The transcript is spliced from 2 exons. The record is from RefSeq and is a predicted model, not a curated record. NCBI's taxonomy places the organism in Eukaryota, Metazoa, Chordata, Mammalia, Rodentia, Muridae.
AGGCGGCUCGCACCAAUGCCAGAGGGGAAACGGGAGGUGGGGGGAGGAGGCGGAAGUCCAUGGCGUGCGGCACGCUGCCUUUGGGAAUGCGUCCGGGAGAGGCGGAAAAUUCGACUCGCUAGGGCGCUCCCUCCUUCCCCAGCACUACCAAGCAGUAGUGGGUGAAGCGCUUCAGGCAUAGAGCCUGCGGGUUGUCCGAGUCCCAGCAUGGCCGGCAAUGCUUUAUACCCUUUGCAGGUAGCGCAGGUGUUAGCUAUCAAAAAGUAUGGAAACUUGCCAAGUGCAAUUUCUGUCGACUGAGAAAAAGGAGACACCCUGAACACCUACUAAACAGUGUUUAAGUACCGCAAAUCUUGCCCUGAUAAGUCUGAGAUGUUCCUGUGACAACAUAAACGUCCACUACUCUUGGACCUCAAGAUUUCUGAAAUUCCUAAAUUAUAUUACUUUGUUUUAUCCAAUCUACUUCCAUCUAUGCUAGCAUGCAACAAAGAUCCUGCUCUCUGAGCCAGGGAAAUGGCAGCUUAGAUGAAAGCACCGGUAUCUAAGCCUCACGACCUGACUUCAUCCCCAGGACCCAUGUGAUGGGGGUAGGAAACCAACUCCUAUAAGUUGUUUUCCAGCCUGAGACAUGCUCAACAUAGCGCAUGCACCACCCCCAUAGAGAAUCAAAUACUUAAAGGUAACGCACGUGUUUUAAAUUGUUCUUUAUCAGCUCCGCACAGUAGCACACAGCUGUAAUCAAGUUACCCAAGAUUGGAUGAGAGCCUCAGCCAGGUAACCAGACCAACUAAGCUAAGCCACCCACCAAUAUUCAAUAAGUCGACUAUAGAGCUAAGUAGACUUGGACCAAAAGCAGCUGAGGUAUCUAUCUGGUGGUGGAACAAUAUGACUGCACACCGCAGUGGUGACCAGCUCCACUUUCUUGAGAGCCAUCUACAAGGACAAGAGAAGCAGCAGUCCCUGCUCUCCCAACCAACAACAGUGAGGUCUUCAUGCCUGCUCACCCAAGAGGAGAAGGUGGUGUCCAUUUACUAAGCCUGCCAGGGCAUGGAGUGACCUCUGCAGCCAAGUGAGCCAUGUGAAGGAGUCAGGAGGGGAGGGGCUCCAGCUCCAGCCUGAAAACCUUCAAACCUAGCUGAAGCUGCGAAACAUGUCAAGCGUUUCACAUUUGCCAAGCCCGUAAGUGCCUGCCCAGCCCCCACCCCCAUCUACAUGCAAUUUUAGUUUCCUCCCGAGGAUACAGGGAUACAGGGAGUGGAGUCUGCUCUAUCCAGCAGCAAAACCCAAAGCCAGCAAGACUGAUGCCCGAUGGCCUCCUUUCCUCUCCCAGAAUCCCAAACUGUCUGUCCGUGUUCCCGGGGGAGGAGGCUGAUCCGCACCAGCCUUAGUCUUUUUCCCUUAGCAAGCUCUACCUUGGACGGUGACUAACCUUGCUUUUGUCCCAGGGGUCAUGAUCCCAAAGCCCUCUGUUCUGUCUUGCCACUGAACGUCCCCAAUUUCCCUGUCCCUGGUCACUUCAGACGAACGAGGGAGAAGAGGAGCCUCAGUCUCUCUGGGUGUUUGUACUAGCUGGCUUUGUCCUUGAGAGAACCGGAAUGUAGCACAUAAGCGGACCCCCUCAGCAUCCAUUGGAGUACCCCACCCUGCCACUCAGUGGAAAAGGGGAAACCCUGUGUGGAUGAAAUUAUGAGUGGGUGUGUGUUGUUGACAAAGUGUCGGCCAAACUUCAGACCCAAGGGAAAAGUAUCCCAGCACUUGAGGCUCAGAGGGAUAGCAAAGUGUGACUGUUGGUAGUGAGUGCAGAAAAUGUCCUCUGGAGCUUUCUUCCCAUAGAUGUUUAAGGUCUGACGACUGCCAGUGCUGAUCCUGAAUGAGUAAACAGCUCUGGAAGCCUAUCUGUGUGGUUCUGGUGACUGGAGUUUGGGGGAGGGGAAUACAAGCAAGUGGAAGAGAGGGAGCCAGAGAAAGCAGAUUAAAGAAGCAAACAGGUCCUGUGACCCUUCCCCUUCCAAAGUGCAUCUUUCUGGAUCCGGACCUGAGGCUUAGGUUUAAAUAGAGGGGAAGCGGAAUGGAUGACUCAGCAGUUCUGGUUAGGAUGUAAUCCGGCUUAUCUAGACUUCAGUCUGUCCUGCAAGGUGGUCUGACAAGUUGGGAGAACUAGGUGAGAUUUUGUUUCCUGAUAGUCAAGUCUCAGCUCUGGCUGGCAUCAGGUUUCAGCUCUCCUCUCGGAGCAGGAGAUUGCCUGGAGGAAAUUCCAGUUCCUUGGGGACCAAUGUUGUAACUGUGUAAUAGUCAAAGGAAGGGGCACAAGCACUUCGAGUAUCUUCAUUCCUACCAGAAUGGUUACAAAUCUCCCCAACUAGGAGACAGAGACAGGGAGAGCAUAGCCAGAGAGAAGGACAUUUGGGACUGUCCACAGUGGUCAGGACCCUGAGCCAGGUGAGAAGUGGAGAGAACCAGGUACAGCAGCCUGGAGGCCCAAGAAAGAGUGGUGACAAAAUAUGACUGGAUUAUAUAGGGAUGGGAAGGUAGAGGGAGGGCAGCCCAACCCCUGGGCUGGAGAAGCUUAGGGAAGGGGGUGGAGCAUGCCAGCCUGGAGGGCCCUGUAAAAGAUAGGGACAGAGGGAUGCUGGGAGAACCUGUUUGGCCAGGUCCACUUUGAUAUGUUAAAAUAGGCACCUCAGCCUUUGUCCCCUGGUUUGAGACUUAACAGUGGCCAGACUGGUCUCCAAGUGACCCUGUCUCAAAAAGAAAAACUUAUCAUUUACAAAUGUUGGAGACAUGACUAUGUCACUUAAUAAAAAUCAAUCCAUUCAGAAAUACUCAUUAA